CAAAGCUCCAGGAAACUCGUCACUUAAAUUCUCGUUAAUUUCAUAACCCUUCAACAGGUGUUUCCCUAUAUAUGUGCUUGCGUGGGUGUUUAAAUAUUAUAUUAAGUUUCUUUAGUGUUGGUUGGGUUGUGAUUUUUUUAAAUUUUUUUGUGGUGUAUUGAUAUAUAAAUGUAAAUGAUUUUCGAUUAAACGUAGCAUCAACUUUGGGGUUUCUUGGAGAAUAGAAAUAGUUUUUAAUUACGAGUAGAACCUAUUGAUUUUAUUUUUUUCUUACUCGUUUUCCAAAUAUAAUUAAUUUUGGCCUGCAAAACAAUGGAGAUUUUAAUAACGACAGAGAGAUAGAAAAUACAAGUGUAAGGGAAUUUCCGUGAUUCACCGUGUUAAACAAAUUGCACAAUUAAUUCAUAAUAUUUUAUUUGGUGAAAUGAUGAACUAGAGCAUAGGCACAAGAAAUGUGGGUUGAGUUCAAUUUGUGCGAAGGUACUUUACAUCCCUAACUUAAACACUGGAUUUAUGCAUAUGCACACGAGUGUGCUUAAUCGAUGAUCUCUAUAACUUCUGAUUUGUAUCGCCUAUUCUUUCUAUCAAAUUCAUUGUUGUCAUCUUUGCUUCUCCUUUUCUUUUUAUUUUUUUGCUGGGUGGUUCUUAUAAGGAUACUAACUCCUUAAUGAUUAUUUUGAUUAGAUUAAAAAAAUUUGUAUUCAUGCGUUUCAUUUUUUAGCAGGAGUACAAAUAUUAUGUGAGAAGCGGAUGGUAGUUUAAUUCUCUUUAAGUAGCCAUCUUUCACUUCAUUUAGUAAUAUUUAUUUUUUACCAUACUUAUUGGUUGUUUGAUACUUUGAUUUUGAAAAGUUGUUUUCCUCUACUCUAUUCAGGUGAUGAAUUUCCGGUUUUCGAAUUUUCAAGAAUUCUUUUUCAUAUUCCAUUCAGAAGCUUUAAGGCAUUUUAUUUGUAAAAAAUGUGCAGGAAACAACAUUAAAUCAUUUAUGGAUGUCAGGCUUUUUGGUGAUGGUUUUGGAGUCACUCAUGGAAUGAUGAGAAAUAAUCUCAUUUGGGUUGUUUCAAGAAUGCAAGUUCAAGAGGAUUGAUCAUUGUCCGAUUUGGUAUUGAACUACACUAUAUUAACAUAUAUAUUCAAAUGACACUAGCAUUGAAUUUCUGAGGAAUAUGUGCAAUAGAAAAUAAACUGGAUAUUUUAACAUAAAAAAGAUUAAAUUUAGACAUUUGUUUCAUAACAGUGUUGUAUGUGUCAAUAGUGGUGAAGUAAUGGAGAUAGACACAUGGGUUGGAGCAAGGUUGGAGGCUUGGUCUUGUGGUAAGCAAUGGACUGAUAAGAAAGCUUGUAUUUUUUUUUCUGUUUUCUCAAACUCGAGCAGGAUAAAAGGGCUGAAAGAUUUACAUCAUUACCUGCAAAAGUUCCAUUAAAUGCUAUGGCUGAGUCUUACUCAUAAUAAGGAACUUCUGUGGAUAGAAACUGUUGAAUGCAUUAUGCUAUCAGGUCUUUGUAAUAUUUUGUGCAUACAUACUAUGAACAUAUUAAUUCUUGCUCUCUCUUUUAU
Molecule: long non-coding RNA, 1558 nt
Filed under: Olea europaea subsp. europaea
Lineage: Eukaryota; Viridiplantae; Streptophyta; Magnoliopsida; Lamiales; Oleaceae
Source: RNAcentral